AUGCCCGAUGACCCAGAUGAUGAUAGUUAUCGUCCAGUCUCCAAAGAUGAGGAGAGCCUCGACAGCAAGGAUUUCAUCAUGCCUAAGGCACCCCUAGAGCAGGAGCGCUUCAAGCGCCAGCUAAGAGCUACUGCCAGAAGCCUAAAGAAAAAGCAGCAGCAGCUCCAAGCCGAUCAAGACCUACUCAUCGACAGAUGGACCGAUGUCCUGGCAGCCGAAGAAUACGGCCUCAAGUGCCCAGCCAAGAGUUACCCAAAGCGCAGACUGCUACCUCAGUUUGAUGAGGAGGCACCAGAUCCCAUACCUCCCUCGCACAACGAGGACCGACCACCACGUGGCCGGGAUAGUGCGGCGGACCACCACCCCGCGGUCGGGAUAAAAUGA
RNAcentral lists this ribosomal RNA (384 nucleotides) under Triticum aestivum (bread wheat). RNAcentral's name for it is "partial small subunit ribosomal RNA". The record is from RNAcentral. Lineage: Eukaryota; Viridiplantae; Streptophyta; Magnoliopsida; Poales; Poaceae.